CAACAAAAUGCCUUGGUUCUCCAGAAGGUACAUUCCUUGAGAAUCAUAGAUAGAGAAGGUCUUCUAUGUUAUUAUUUUAGCUGAAAGUAAGCCCAGAGCCUUUAAGUUGAAAGUGGCAGAGACAAAAUUUGGAAUCACAUGCAGAUUUAUAUAUUGAUCUAGAGGAAACUGCAGUUUUCUCAAGAGAUACUGGUCAUAGAAUCCUAGCAACCAUAAAGUACUUAAAAUUCUUUUACAGCUACUUUAUGGUAGCCUAAAUUGACUUAAUAGAGCACUAUCAAAUCAAUUCAUUCUCUUAACUCUUAGGACUGCAUUAUCUUGAUUUGAAUUGUUGGUAAACCAGGCCAUCCAGUAAUUAGAGGGAUGCAUGGUGUAUGAUAUAUUAUCCAUAAGACCUGCCACCUGAAGAAAGGAGACAGUUGUAUGAAAGAAAUUUUGAAUGGAGCUCUCCAUAAAUUGGACACCACUGAAUGGUUCUAUUCCGGUGCAAGAAAUUGUAUAUAAGGACAGUGGCCCAACUGAAAAAGAUGCACAGCAUUCAAAUUAUUAGCUCAAUAAGACAGAUAUUCAUAGAGAAAAUUUUAGGGGUCUCAGCGAAGCCCCUCUGAGGAAGCAGUGUUGCCCUUCCUGAGCUUGAAGAGCCUCCUGUCUUUUUGAAGCAAAUACACUCAAUCUGAUUUAUAAUCAUUUGCUUCUUCUUCGACGGAAGGAAGAAUUGGACCAAACGCUAUUUUGAUUCCGGUCAGAAGAUUUUUCAAGCCUAAAGAAAUUACUUCAAGUUCUUGCUUCUAUUUUCUGGCAGGAUUUCUCUUCAG
Molecule: long non-coding RNA, 815 nt
Filed under: Vulpes vulpes (red fox)
Lineage: Eukaryota; Metazoa; Chordata; Mammalia; Carnivora; Canidae
Description: lncRNA (ENSVVUG00000012124.1)
Source: RNAcentral